This 579-nucleotide ribosomal RNA is filed under the name uncultured Pseudomonas sp. RNAcentral's name for it is "bacterial SSU rRNA". It matches the Rfam family "Bacterial small subunit ribosomal RNA", at positions 102 to 677 of the family's 1533-position model. The record is from RNAcentral. Lineage: Bacteria; Pseudomonadati; Pseudomonadota; Gammaproteobacteria; Pseudomonadales; Pseudomonadaceae.
ACGGGUGAGUAAUGCCUAGGAAUCUGCCUGAUAGUGGGGGAUAACGUUCGGAAACGGACGCUAAUACCGCAUACGUCCUACGGGAGAAAGCAGGGGACCUUCGGGCCUUGCGCUAUCAGAUGAGCCUAGGUCGGAUUACCUAGUUGGUGAGGUAAUGGCUCACCAAGGCGACGAUCCGUAACUGGUCUGAGAGGAUGAUCAGUCACACUGGAACUGAGACACGGUCCAGACUCCUACGGGAGGCAGCAGUGGGGAAUAUUGGACAAUGGGCGAAAGCCUGAUCCAGCCAUGCCGCGUGUGUGAAGAAGGUCUUCGGAUUGUAAAGCACUUUAAGUUGGGAGGAAGGGCAUUAACCUAAUACGUUAGUGUUUUGACGUUACCGACAGAAUAAGCACCGGCUAACUCUGUGCCAGCAGCCGCGGUAAUACAGAGGGUGCAAGCGUUAAUCGGAAUUACUGGGCGUAAAGCGCGCGUAGGUGGUUUGUUAAGUUGGAUGUGAAAUCCCCGGGCUCAACCUGGGAACUGCAUUCAAAACUGACUGACUAGAGUAUGGUAGAGGGUGGUGGAAUUUCCUGUGUA